Molecule: ribosomal RNA, 377 nt
Filed under: uncultured bacterium
Lineage: Bacteria
Description: partial 16S ribosomal RNA
Rfam family: Bacterial small subunit ribosomal RNA
Source: RNAcentral
CCUACGGGUGGCAGCAGUAGGGAAUAUUGCUCAAUGGGCGACACCCUGAAGCAGCAACGCCGCGUGGAGGAUGAAGGUUUUCGGAUUGUAAAAUCCUUUUGUUAGAGAAGAUAAUGACGGUAUCUAACGAAUAACCACCGGCUAACCCCUUACCAGCAGCCGCAGUAAUACGGAGGGUGCAAGCGUUACUCGGAAUCACUGGGCGUAAAGAGAUCGUAUGCGGGAUAGUAAGUCAGAUGUGAAAUCCUAUGGCUUAACCAUAGUAGUGCAUUUGAAACUGUUAGUCGAGAGUAUGGGAGAGGUAGGUGGAAGUCUUGGUGGAGGGGUAAAAUGCGUAGAUAUAAAGAGGAAUACUCAUUGCGAAGGCGACUCGCUAG